GAUGAAGAACGCAGCGAAAUGCGAUAAGUAAUGUGAAUUGCAGAAUUCAGUGAAUCAUCGAAUCUUUGAACGCACAUUGCGCCCGCCAGUAUUCUGGCGGGCAUGCCUGUUCGAGCGUCAUUUCAACCAUCAAGCCCCCGGCUUGUGUUGGGGACCUGCGGCUGCCGCAGGCCCUGAAAAGCAGUGGCGGGCUCGCUGUCACACCGAGCGUAGUAGCAUACAUCUCGCUCUGGGCGUGCUGCGGGUUCCGGCCGUUAAACCACCUUCAUAUCCCGAGGUUGACCUCGGAUCAGGUAGGAAGACCCGCUGAACUUAAGCAUAUCAAUAAGCGGAGGA
RNAcentral lists this unclassified non-coding RNA (336 nucleotides) under soil metagenome. Its description in RNAcentral is "partial contains 5.8S ribosomal RNA, internal transcribed spacer 2, and large subunit ribosomal RNA". The stretch from base 1 to 120 matches the Rfam family "5.8S ribosomal RNA", at positions 35 to 154 of the family's 154-position model. The record is from RNAcentral.